RNAcentral lists this ribosomal RNA (492 nucleotides) under uncultured bacterium. RNAcentral's name for it is "bacterial SSU rRNA". It matches the Rfam family "Bacterial small subunit ribosomal RNA", at positions 15 to 507 of the family's 1533-position model. The record is from RNAcentral.
GAUCCUGGCUCAGGAUGAACGCUAGCGGCAGGCUUAACACAUGCAAGUCGAGGGGUAUUGGUUUUCGGACCAAGAGACCGGCGCACGGGUGCGUAACGCGUAUGCAAUCUACCUUUUGCAGAGGGAUAGCCCAGAGAAAUUUGGAUUAAUACCUCAUAGUAUAGUACUUUGGCAUCAAGGAACUAUUAAAGUCACAACGGCAAAAAGAUGAGCAUGCGUCCCAUUAGCUAGUUGGUAAGGUAACGGCUUACCAAGGCUACGAUGGGUAGGGGUCCUGAGAGGGAGAUCCCCCACACUGGUACUGAGACACGGACCAGACUCCUACGGGAGGCAGCAGUGAGGAAUAUUGGACAAUGGGCGCAAGCCUGAUCCAGCCAUGCCGCGUGCAGGAUGACGGUCCUAUGGAUUGUAAACUGCUUUUAUACAGGAAGAAACACUCCGACGUGUCGGAGCUUGACGGUACUGUAAGAAUAAGGAUCGGCUAACUCCGUG